Long non-coding RNA from Sinocyclocheilus grahami, 209 nucleotides. RefSeq lists it as uncharacterized. The transcript is spliced from 3 exons. Lineage: Eukaryota; Metazoa; Chordata; Actinopteri; Cypriniformes; Cyprinidae. The record is from RefSeq and is a predicted model, not a curated record.
GUGUGUGUUUGUGUGUCCAGUGUUGCUUGAGUGGAGCUCGACGGGAUAAACAUGCGCUAGUUAUUAUAUUCUCUUAUAAUACGAUCAUAAGUCUUCCUAAAGGCGCUUUAACAUGGAGGCGGAUGAUGGCGCGCGUAUCCGCAGUGAAGACGUCCUUCCACAGAACCAGGACCUGAGUUUUGUGCUGUCUUCUGGUGUAGCUUUGCUGU